UGCCGGGACCCGGGAUCGAACCAGGGUGGCUAAAUGUUCAGUCUAGUGCUCUCCCAACUGAGCUAUCCCGAC
RNAcentral lists this transfer RNA (72 nucleotides) under Cordylochernes scorpioides. RNAcentral describes it as "tRNA-Phe". Lineage: Eukaryota; Metazoa; Arthropoda; Arachnida; Pseudoscorpiones; Chernetidae. The record is from RNAcentral.